AACGAACGCUGGCGGCAUGCCUAACACAUGCAAGUCGAACGAGAUCUUCGGGUCUAGUGGCGCACGGGUGCGUAACGCGUGGGAAUCUGCCCUUUGGUUCGGAAUAACAGUUGGAAACGACUGCUAAUACCGGAUGAUGACGAAAGUCCAAAGAUUUAUCGCCAGAGGAUGAGCCCGCGUAGGGUUAGCUAGUUGGUGUGGUAAAGGCGCACCAAGGCGACGAUCCUUAGCUGGUCUGAGAGGAUGAUCAGCCACACUGGGACUGAGACACGGCCAGACUCCUACGGGAGGCAGCAGUGGGGAAUAUUGGACAAUGGGCGAAAGCCUGAUCCAGCAAUGCCGCGUGAGUGAUGAAGGCCUUAGGGUUGUAAAGCUCUUUUACCCGGGAUGAUAAUGACAGUACCGGGAGAAUAAGCUCCGGCUAACUCCGUGCCAGCCGCCGCGGUAA
Molecule: ribosomal RNA, 448 nt
Filed under: uncultured bacterium
Lineage: Bacteria
Description: partial 16S ribosomal RNA
Rfam family: Bacterial small subunit ribosomal RNA
Source: RNAcentral